Molecule: ribosomal RNA, 497 nt
Filed under: uncultured bacterium
Lineage: Bacteria
Description: partial 16S ribosomal RNA
Rfam family: Bacterial small subunit ribosomal RNA
Source: RNAcentral
GUUGAACGCUGGCGGCGUGCCUAAUACAUGCAAGUCGAACGAACACACGAGGAAGUUUCCCGCCUCACGUUAGCGGCGCGCAGGUGAGUAAAAUGUGGGUAACCUAGCUAUAAGACUGGGAUAAAUUCGUGAAAACGGUGCUAAAUCCGGCAUAUAUAUGCAACCGCAUGGUUCAGUAGUUAAAGACGGUUUUGCUGCCACUGUUAGAUGGAUCCGCGCCGCAUUUGCUAGGUUGUAAGGUCACGGCUUACCAAGGCAACGAUGCGUAUGCGACCUGAGCGGGAGGUCGGCCACACCGGGACUGGGGCACGGUCCAAACCCCCACGGGAGGCCGGAGGAGGGAAUCUUCGGAAAUGGGGGGAAGCCUGACGGCACACCGGCGGGUGAGAUAAAAAGGUCUUCGGAUUGUUAAACUCUGUUAUUCGGGAAGAAAAAAUGUAUAAGUAACUACGCACGUCUUGACGGUACCUAAUCAGAGAGCCACGGCUAACUACGUG